This 594-nucleotide ribosomal RNA is filed under the name Didymella bellidis. Its description in RNAcentral is "partial large subunit ribosomal RNA". It matches the Rfam family "Eukaryotic large subunit ribosomal RNA", at positions 32 to 608 of the family's 3401-position model. Lineage: Eukaryota; Fungi; Ascomycota; Dothideomycetes; Pleosporales; Didymellaceae. The record is from RNAcentral.
UCGUGACGUGCAUAUCAAUAAGCGGAGGAAAAGAAACCAACAGGGAUUGCCCUAGUAACGGCGAGUGAAGCGGCAACAGCUCAAAUUUGAAUCUGGCGUCUUUGGCGUCCGAGUUGUAAUUUGCAGAGGGCGCUUUGGCAUUGGCAGCGGUCCAAGUUCCUUGGAACUAGGACGUCACAGAGGGUGAGAAUCCCGUACGUGGUCGCUAGCCUUUACCGUGUAAAGCCCCUUCGACGAGUCGAGUUGUUUGGGAAUGCAGCUCUAAAUGGGAGGUAAAUUUCUUCUAAAGCUAAAUACUGGCCAGAGACCGAUAGCGCACAAGUAGAGUGAUCGAAAGAUGAAAAGCACUUUGGAAAGAGAGUUAAAAACGCACGUGAAAUUGUUGAAAGGGAAGCGCUUGCAGCCAGACUUGCCUGUAGUUGCUCAUCCAGGUUUCUACCUGGUGCACUCUUCUAUAGGCAGGCCAGCAUCAGUUUGGGCGGUUGGAUAAAGGUCUCUGUCAUGUACCUCUCUUCGGGGAGAACUUAUAGGGGAGACGACAUGCAACCAGCCUGGACUGAGGUCCGCGCAUCUGCUUGGCGUCCUGGGCGUCCU